AUUGAACGCUGGCGGCAUGCUUCACACAUGCAAGUCGAACGGCAGCGGGGUAGUGCUUGCACUACUGUCCGGCGAGUGGCGAACGGGUGAGUAAUAUAUCGGAACGUACCGAGUAAUGGGGGAUAACCAAUCGAAAGAUUGGCUAAUACCGCAUACGUCCUAAGGGAGAAAGCGGGGGAUCGCAAGACCUCGCGUUAUUCGAGCGGCCGAUAACUGAUUAGCUAGUUGGUGGGGUAAAGGCCUACCAAGGCGACGAUCAGUAGCGGGUUGAGAGGACGAUCCGCCACACUGGGACUGAGACACGGCCCAGACUCCUACGGGAGGCAGCAGUGGGGAAUUUUGGACAAUGGGGGCAACCCUGAUCCAGCCAUGCCGCGUGUAUGAAGAAGGCCUUCGGGUUGUAAAGUACUUUUGUUAGGGAAGAAAAGGGAAGUGCUAAUACCACUUUUGCUGACGGACCUAAAGAUAGCCCCG
This 474-nucleotide ribosomal RNA is filed under the name Eikenella corrodens. RNAcentral describes it as "bacterial SSU rRNA". It matches the Rfam family "Bacterial small subunit ribosomal RNA", at positions 30 to 495 of the family's 1533-position model. Lineage: Bacteria; Pseudomonadati; Pseudomonadota; Betaproteobacteria; Neisseriales; Neisseriaceae. The record is from RNAcentral.